Long non-coding RNA from Carcharodon carcharias (great white shark), 513 nucleotides. RefSeq lists it as uncharacterized. The transcript is spliced from 3 exons. The record is from RefSeq and is a predicted model, not a curated record. Lineage: Eukaryota; Metazoa; Chordata; Chondrichthyes; Lamniformes; Lamnidae.
AAGACUAACUGCAGAUGUGCAGACCUUUCCUGGUGGGCACAUGACUGAAAAGCCUGAGUUUCAGACCCAAAGCUGGUAAAAGAAUCCAACUGCACAUGGAUGGCCAUUGUCCGACUGGAACAUGCACAGAAAAUCCAAAAAAGGCAAAAGGACACGAACUGCACACAUGCGAUCAUUUCCCAGCCAGCACUUGCACAGAAGCCGCGAGGCCCAUUGGAAACUAUAGCUCCCAAACUGCAACUCACAAACUCAACUUAAGCUUGAAGUCGCCCCAGCUUUGUCAAUGCACUCUAUCUCUUGUCCAUUGCAUUCUUUCUUUGCUUGGACUAGAAGUGGACACAACCUAAAUGCAGUCAAAGAAAGGGUUAGAUAAUCCCAGGACUACCAGUCUCGCAGUAUGAAUGCUGCUCCUUAGCUCUCUGCACUACACAUAUGAUGAGAACUGGAACUGAUUCAAUCUCUUCGUGCCUACUUCAUCUUGGGACAUCAACACCACCGGAAAAGUAAAUCUUA